GGAGUUAUGAAAUGCAGGUUGGUUAAUACCCAACCUGUUUGACAAAGGCCCCAAAGGAAGCCACGGCUAACUCUGUGCCAGCAGCCGCGGUAAUACAGAGGUGGCAAGCGUUGUUCGGUAUUAUUGGGCGUAAAGAGCACGUAGGUGGUUUUGUAAGUCAGAUGUGAUAGCCUUCUGUUCAAAGGAAGAACGGCAUCUGAAACUGCAGAUCUUGAGUGUAGGAGGGGAGAGUGGAACUUCUGGU
This 244-nucleotide ribosomal RNA is filed under the name uncultured anaerobic ammonium-oxidizing bacterium. RNAcentral's name for it is "partial 16S ribosomal RNA". It matches the Rfam family "Bacterial small subunit ribosomal RNA", at positions 439 to 674 of the family's 1533-position model. The record is from RNAcentral.